Molecule: ribosomal RNA, 1223 nt
Filed under: Rodentolepis nana
Lineage: Eukaryota; Metazoa; Platyhelminthes; Cestoda; Cyclophyllidea; Hymenolepididae
Description: SSU rRNA
Rfam family: Eukaryotic small subunit ribosomal RNA
Source: RNAcentral
AUGUCGCCUGAAAAGUUUUGCAUGGAAUAAUGGAAUAGGACUUCGGUUCUAUUUCGUUGGUUUUCGGAUCCGAAGUAAUGAUCAAAAGAGACAGGCGGGGACGUUUGUAUGGCUGCGCUAGAGGUGAAAUUCAUGGACCGUAGCCAGACAAACUAAAGCGAAAGCAUUCGUCAAGCAUGUUUUCAUUGGCCAUGAGCGAAAGUCAGAGGCUCGAAGACGAUCAGAUACCGUCCUAGUUCUGACCAUAAACGAUGCCAACUGACGAUCCGUGGCGGUAGUUUCUAAACCUUCCCCACGGGCAGUCCCCGGGAAACCUUUAAGUCUUUGGGUUCCGGGGGAAGUAUGGUUGCVAAGCUGAAACUUAAAGGAAUUGAGGGAAGGGCACCACCCGGAGUGGAGCCUGCGGCCUUAAUUUGACUCAACACGGGAAAACUCACCCGGGCCGGACACUGUGAGGAUUGACAGAUUGAUAGCUCUUUCUUGAUUUGGUGGUUGGUGGUGCAUGGCCGUUCUUAGUUGGUGGAGCGAUUUGUCUGGUUAAUUCCGAUAACGAACGARACUCCAGCCUGCUAAUUAGUGCAUUUGUCCACUGCACCAGCCGAGCGGCGCAGUGUCAACUGCUCUGGCUCAGUGCAGGAACCGGCGCGUUUGUGCAUCCUGCGUGGUCGCACUGCCUCGUGUGGUGUGGCUGUGUGGGGCUAUGCGCGGCGUGUUAGGCCUGCAUGUUGUGCCUGGGGCGGAUGGCACCACGUUAGCUAGCAGGUGCGGCGCGAAUGCUUACUUCUUAGAGGGACACGCGGGAGAAGCCGCACGAAAUAGAGCAAUAACAGGUCUGUGAUGCCCUUAGAUGUCCGGGGCCGCACGCGCGCUACAAUGGCGGUGUCAACGAGUCAGACCUUCUGGCCUGAAAAGGUUGGGCAAACUGGUCAAUCACCGUCAUGACAGGGAUCGGGGCUUGGAAUUGUUCCCCGUGAACGAGGAAUUCCUAGUAAGUGCAAGUCAUAAGCUUGCGCUGAUUACGUCCCUGCCCUUUGUACACACCGCCCGUCGCUACUACCGAUUGAAUGGUUUAGUAAGGUCCUUGGAUUGGUGCCAUUUAGGUUCCGCCGAAAGGUGCGUAUCUAGCCGGCGCCGAGAAGACGACCAAACUUGAUCAUUUAGAGGAAGUAAAAGUCGUAACAAGGUUUCCGUAGGUGAACCUGCGGAAGGAUCAUUACACGUUC